AUACUUACCUGGCAGAGGAGAUAACGUUAUCAAGAAGGUGGUUUUUCAGGGUCAAGUUUAUCAUUUGCACUAUGCAUAUGAUGACCCCUGUAAUUUCCUCAAAUAUGGGAAACUCAUCUUCAUAGCUGCAUUAGUGGGGGCACUGUUGGAUA
RNAcentral lists this small nuclear RNA (152 nucleotides) under Sorex araneus (European shrew). Its description in RNAcentral is "U1 spliceosomal RNA (ENSSARG00000016174.1)". The stretch from base 1 to 129 matches the Rfam family "U1 spliceosomal RNA". From Rfam's summary of the family: U1 is a small nuclear RNA (snRNA) component of the spliceosome (involved in pre-mRNA splicing). Its 5' end forms complementary base pairs with the 5' splice junction, thus defining the 5' donor site of an intron. Lineage: Eukaryota; Metazoa; Chordata; Mammalia; Eulipotyphla; Soricidae. The record is from RNAcentral.